Molecule: ribosomal RNA, 466 nt
Filed under: uncultured bacterium
Lineage: Bacteria
Description: partial 16S ribosomal RNA
Rfam family: Bacterial small subunit ribosomal RNA
Source: RNAcentral
GACGAACGCUGGCGGCGUGCUUAACACAUGCAAGUCGAACGGAAAGGCCCUGCUUUUGUGGGGUGCUCGAGUGGCGAACGGGUGAGUAACACGUGAGUAACCUGCCCUUGACUUUGGGAUAACUUCAGGAAACUGGGGCUAAUACCGGAUAGGAGCUCCUGCUGCAUGGUGGGGGUUGGAAAGUUUCGGCGGUUGGAUGGACUCGCGGCUUAUCAGCUUGUUGGUGGGGUAGUGGCUUACCAAGGCUUUGACGGGUAGCCGGCCUGAGAGGGUGACCGGCCACAUUGGGACUGAGAUACGGCCCAGACUCCUACGGGAGGCAGCAGUGGGGAAUAUUGCACAAUGGGCGGAAGCCUGAUGCAGCAACGCCGCGUGCGGGAUGACGGCCUUCGGGUUGUAAACCGCUUUCGCCUGUGACGAAGCGUGAGUGACGGUAAUGGGUAAAGAAGCACCGGCUAACUACGUG